CGGGUGAGUAACACGUAUGCAAUCCACCUGUAACAGGGGGAUAACCCGGAGAAAUCCGGACUAAUACCCCAUAAUAUGGGCGCUCCGCAUGGAGAGCCCAUUAAAGAGAGCAAUUUUGGUUACAGACGAGCAUGCGCUCCAUUAGCCAGUUGGCGGGGUAACGGCCCACCAAAGCGACGAUCGGUAGCCGGACUGAGAGGUUGAACGGCCACAUUGGGACUGAGACACGGCCCAG
Molecule: ribosomal RNA, 235 nt
Filed under: uncultured bacterium
Lineage: Bacteria
Description: partial 16S ribosomal RNA
Rfam family: Bacterial small subunit ribosomal RNA
Source: RNAcentral